This 497-nucleotide ribosomal RNA is filed under the name uncultured bacterium. Its description in RNAcentral is "partial 16S ribosomal RNA". It matches the Rfam family "Bacterial small subunit ribosomal RNA", at positions 28 to 507 of the family's 1533-position model. The record is from RNAcentral.
GAUGAACGCUGGCGGCGUGCCUAAUACAUGCAAGUCGAGCGAACGGACGAGAAGCUUGCUUCUCUGAUGUUAGCGGCGGACGGGUGAGUAACACGUGUAUAACCUACCUAUAAGACUGGGAUAACUUCGGGAAACCGGAGCUAAUACCGGAUGAUAUCUUGAACCGCAUGGUUCAAAAGUGAAAGACGGUCUUGCUGUCACUUAUAGAUGGAUCCGCGCUGCAUUAGCUAGUUGGUAAGUUAACGGCUUACCAAGGCAACGAUGCAUAGCCGACCUGAGAGGGUGAUAGGCCACACUGGAACUGAGACACGGUCCAGACUCCUACGGGAGGCAGCAGUAGGGAAUCUUCCGCAAUGGGCGAAAGCCUGACGGAGCAACGCCGCGUGAGUGAUGAAGGUCUUCGGAUCGUAAAACUCUGUUAUUAGGGAAGAACAUAUGUGUAAGUAACUGUGCACAUCUUGACGGUACCUAAUCAGAAAGCCACGGCUAACUACGUG